This is a long non-coding RNA of Panthera uncia (snow leopard), 830 nucleotides long. RefSeq lists it as uncharacterized. The record is from RefSeq and is a predicted model, not a curated record. The transcript has 2 exons. Lineage: Eukaryota; Metazoa; Chordata; Mammalia; Carnivora; Felidae.
AGAGUGUGUGUAUAGGGGGGGGGGGGGGGGGCGGAGAGAGAGAGAGGGAGAGAGAGAGAAUCCCAAGCAGCCUCUAUGCCCAGUUGGAUCUGACAGAAGGCGUGAUCUCACAACCAUGAGAUUAUGACCUGAGCCACGAUCAAGAGUCAGACGUUUAACCAACCGAGCCACCCAGGUGCCCAGGAAGGAGUAUUUCUUUUUAAAUGUCCAUUCUUCUCUCCUAUCUAAAUAACUUGCUUCUUUGGGUGGAAGGAAUAUCUAUGUUUCUCCUUUGUAUGAAAGCAACCCUAAUUUUUUUUUUUUCUAAUGAGAAAAGGAAGGGUUCUUCAAAAAACAGAACUGCUACUUUGAGCUAUCUUGGAAGGUGGAUCUUCUGAGUGAUAGAGCAGUGUAGAAACCAAGACCUUCCAGACCCAGGCUGAUGACGACUGCCUUGAAGAGACACAACCACUGUUGAUAAACAGGUGAAUGAUUUGGGUCCAACGGGACUUCAGGUCUAUUCCUGAGGACCUGGUUCCCAUUCCAGCCAACCAUCCAUGGUGACAGAGCAAGGUCUUAGAGACAGCUCACGCGGUUCUGCUGUCUUAUCAGAAACAUGGAGAUAACAGUGCCUAUCUUACAGGACUGUGGUAGAGGUCAUAUGAGAUAACACAGUUAAAGCCCAACAAAGAAAUCACUACUGAUAAGAGCUAAUAAAUAAUAACAAUAAUCAUAGUAAGGGCUUGGUAAAACUGAGCUGCUCUUAUUAUCAUUAUCCUGGUAUGUCUCCCUUUUGGCGGCCUAAAUCUCAGUAGGAUCUACUUCUCUCAAACAUUCUCUUCCUCAGAAAA